This 287-nucleotide long non-coding RNA is filed under the name Mytilus galloprovincialis (Mediterranean mussel). The record is from RNAcentral. Lineage: Eukaryota; Metazoa; Mollusca; Bivalvia; Mytilida; Mytilidae.
AAAUGAAUAUCCUAAUCCUGAAGAAGUAACGAGCAAUUUGGUAAAAUAAAUUUGUCGUAAUCUUUUACGGUUGCGAAGGAGUAGUGGCCACAAGAAAAACAGUGUUUGGGGAGAUAACUCUUACAACGUAAAGUAUUUUGUUACGCAGUUGUAAAUUUUUAAAGCGUAUAAACUAUACGAUAUCAUAUUCCAAAUAUCUAAGCGACAUCUUUUGAAACAUCAAUACUACGCAAGAAAAAAAAUUAGGCGGAAGAAAAAAAAAAAAAAAAAUAAUAAUUAAAAACCAA